UACGUAGGAGACUAGCGUUGUCCGGAAUUACUGGGUGUAAAGCGCGUGUAGGCGGCAUACCAAGUCUGUUGUGAAAUCGCCCGGCUCAACUGGGCGGGGUCAAUGGAAACUGGUAAGCUGGAGGACGGUAGAGGCGAGUGGAAUUCCCGGUGUAGUGGUGAAAUGCGUAGAGAUCGGGAGGAACACCUGUGGCGAAGGCGGCUCGCUGGGCCGAUCCUGACGCUGAGACGCGAAGGCGAGGGGAGCGAACGGG
RNAcentral lists this ribosomal RNA (253 nucleotides) under uncultured bacterium. RNAcentral describes it as "partial 16S ribosomal RNA". It matches the Rfam family "Bacterial small subunit ribosomal RNA", at positions 524 to 776 of the family's 1533-position model. The record is from RNAcentral.